This 184-nucleotide unclassified non-coding RNA is filed under the name Ascomycota sp. Its description in RNAcentral is "partial contains small subunit ribosomal RNA, internal transcribed spacer 1, and 5.8S ribosomal RNA". The stretch from base 1 to 47 matches the Rfam family "Eukaryotic small subunit ribosomal RNA", at positions 1785 to 1831 of the family's 1831-position model. Lineage: Eukaryota; Fungi; Ascomycota. The record is from RNAcentral.
AAAGUCGUAACAAGGUCUCCGUUGGUGAACCAGCGGAGGGAUCAUUAUCGAGUUUACUCUUUAUAACCAUGUGAACUUACAGUUGCUUCGUAUACUUUGGUAUACGGAACUAUCCAUCUCUUUUUUAUUCUUCUGAGUUAAAAUAUAAACGUGAAAACUUUCAACAACGGAUCUCUUGGUUCUG